GAUGAACGCUGGCGGCGUGCCUAAUACAUGCAAGUCGAGCGAACAGACGAGGAGCUUGCUCCUCUGACGUUAGCGGCGGACGGGUGAGUAACACGUGGAUAACCUACCUAUAAGACUGGGAUAACUUCGGGAAACCGGAGCUAAUACCGGAUAAUAUAUUAAACCGCACGGUUAAAUAGUGAAAGACGGUUUUGCUGUCACUUAUAGUUGGAUCCGCGCCGCAUUAGCUAGUUGGUAAGGUAACGGCUUACCAAGGCAACGAUGCGUAGCCGACCUGAGAGGGUGAUCGGCCACACUGGAACUGAGACACGGUCCAGACUCCUACGGGAGGCAGCAGUAGGGAAUCUUCCGCAAUGGGCGAAAGCCUGACGGAGCAACGCCGCGUGAGUGAUGAAGGUCUUCGGAUCGUAAAACUCUGUUAUUAGGGAAGAACAAAUGUGUAAGUAACUAUGCACGUCUUGACGGUACCUAAUCAGAAAGCCACGGCUAACUACGUG
This 497-nucleotide ribosomal RNA is filed under the name uncultured bacterium. RNAcentral's name for it is "partial 16S ribosomal RNA". It matches the Rfam family "Bacterial small subunit ribosomal RNA", at positions 28 to 507 of the family's 1533-position model. The record is from RNAcentral.